GAGUGCUUGCGGCUCUCAACCCCGCCCUCCUCGAGGUCCGUUCUGUCCUGGAGCGGGUCGGCCUCGUCGCCCUGAGCACGUGGGUAGGUCGAGCGCCGCCUACGAUGGCCGGAGUCGCCGGCGAUCGUCGUCAGGGCGGCCGGUCUCGCCUCUGCCUCAGCGCGCGUCGGGGGAAGGAGAGGAGGAGAGGGAGGAGAGAGAAGGUCAACGCGGGUCCCACCCGUCAGCCGCACGAGGCGCCUGCUGACGUGGAUAAGUGGACACGCAGUUCUGGUGACUACGUCUUCAUGCGUUGAAAGCGUAUUAUCCGGGUGCUUUGGCUGAAAGUACUCUUUCGCGUUAGGAAAGCGUAUUUGCUGAAGUACGCCUUCUGUUUUUCUGCCUAAGUCCAGUCUGAAAAUAUUUCAUUACAGAUGGGUCCCUGGCAGAAAACACCUCAUAACUUUUUGUCCGUAACUCCAAAUGAGGUGAAUCCAAAGCCUACUUCUUUGUUUCGUCGAGCCCGUUCGGUUGGUUUCAUUUUCACUAUGGUUUGACACUGUGAAAAUGACCUUUUUGCCCUUGCACGUAAACAGCCCCUCCGAGAGAGAACUGUUUCCGGCAAAUCUUUCCGCGGCUUCACCGCACUUCUCCCCGGUGCCUUCUUCAUCCCCAGGCAAGCCACAAUACCCAUUUGCAUGAAAUUCAUGCAGUAGCCAUGGUUUUCAACUUGAAUAUUUAUUAAAUGAUUGCUUGUUUAAAACAUGGUUAUCGUUGUUUCGGUAAUGCUUCUGGUUUAGUGCUUACUUGUUUGCUAUGUUGUUAUGCACCUGGUUAUCAUGCCCUGCUAGUUGCUAGUAUUGCUUUCAUAUUGCCAUGCUUGAUAGUAGUACAUGUUGGGUUGGUCAUGUUCUUCGGUGCAUGAUUAACGUCGGUUAUCGAGUACCAUUAAUAUGCGUUGUUCCUUUGUUGUUAGUUGGUUAAGUCUUACUCGGUGAUGUUAUUGAUGAUUUCUUGCAUGUUAUUUAUGUUUGAUGACAAUGGUCAUGUUAUGCUAUGAGUAGUGUUGUACUUGUAAAAUUUAUGCUCGUCAUUAUGCCAUGUUCAGUUGGAGAUUAUUCAUAGUUGAUAUGGUGGAUAGUUAUGUUGCAUCCCGUACUUAUGUUGAUAUCAUGUUCAUGCAUUGUAAUUGCAUCAUGUUAUUUUAUCAUGGCUCAGCAUUUUGCAUUCAAGUUUAACCGGAUUUAAUUGAACUUGAACAACUGUUGGCUGAGUCAUGGUGCCGCCAGAUCGAAACUGACCAGUGCAACCACGCUUAUCUUAUGGGUAAGGUCCUAACUGGGUCUAUUGUCGUGCAUCUCGCUGGUGCCUCCCACGAGGGAAGGUUAUGGGCGUGCUUACCCUGAUCAGGUGCCCGUUGUUUUUAUUUUUAUGGAUCCGGUCCCCGUGAGGGAGUUUUGACCACGACGGUGGUCGGGGUGUCUUUGGUAGACACGGGGCCACCCAGGACUAGCCCAGUUGGGAGUGGGUCGGAGUGGCCGGCAGAGUGUCAUGACAAUAGAUCGGUUUUGUCGGAACGCCGUUGGUCCACCCGAAUGGGAGUGCGAGGCCAUGGGUUCCGUGGUGUGGGUACAGGGUACUAACCUCUGCAGAGUGUAUAUUAAAUCUAUCGAUAGCUGCGCCCGCGGAUAAGGGCCCAGUUCGUGUUGGUCCCACCGUGAGUCAACAGUAUUAAUAAUAACUGGAUUAAUAACAACCCCGGUUUGAUGAUGAGAUAAGUUGGUUGUGAUCGCCGGAAAGAUCACUGUUUGAGACCAAGUGUUGGUCAUGGUUGUGAUCGCCGGAAUGAUCACCGUGGUAUCGAGGAUACCGAGUUGUUGGAUAUUCGUGAUCUUGUGCGAGAAUCAUGGGUAAAGAUCAGGCUCCUUGUGGUCAUUUAAUGAUUACUACGGUAUUGUUUAUACCAAGCUUGAUUUGAUCCUGAGAUAAUCGUGUGAUGUCCGAGGUUGGUAAGUGAUGCGUGUGAUGGUUGCGAAAUAACCCGAGCAGAAUUAAUGGUGCAUGUAGUGUCAUCAUGUUGCAUGCUAGUAUCAUCGGAUUUAUAUGUAUAUGCUAUGCUCAUGUUGUUUUACCUGUAUCAUGUUCAUGUUGCCUUUGGAUUCUUAGUGGCUAUUAUGAUUAUUUUCGUGAUGGUAGCUGAUAUUAUUUUGGAGUAUUACUUUGGAUGUCAUGUUGCUCAUGCCAUGUUGUUAUAAGGAUCUCAUGUUAAUUCCUGCUUAACUUGUAAUUGCCAUGCUGUUGUUUGUCUUGAAUGCUUCUGGUUAAUUGUGAGCUUGCAAGUACAUUCAAUGUACUGACCUGGCGUGUCAUGCCAGCUUGCAGGUGGUGCCUGGAUUGCUUGCUUGUUUGGUGUUGUUCCUGUGUUCGCGAGCUAGGAUAAGCGUUCCAGCCAGAGUCCCUGCAGAGUGGAGUUCACCACCGUCGUCGUUGUUCCGCUGCUAGAGUUAUUCCGCUGCUUCGAGUUGUUCUGCUGCUUGCAUAGAGCAACUGAGGAUGGCGUAGUGUCACCGUGCCAAUGUUAUUCAUUGUAAUAUCGGAGACCUUGUAUUCAUAUUCGUGAUAUAAUAGAAAGCUGGUUUGUUCUAUGCUAA
RNAcentral lists this long non-coding RNA (2630 nucleotides) under Triticum aestivum (bread wheat). RNAcentral's name for it is "long non-coding RNA (TAES_LNC004695)". The record is from RNAcentral. Lineage: Eukaryota; Viridiplantae; Streptophyta; Magnoliopsida; Poales; Poaceae.